This 253-nucleotide ribosomal RNA is filed under the name uncultured bacterium. RNAcentral describes it as "partial 16S ribosomal RNA". It matches the Rfam family "Bacterial small subunit ribosomal RNA", at positions 524 to 776 of the family's 1533-position model. The record is from RNAcentral.
GACGUAGGGCGCGAGCGUUGUCCGGAUUUAUUGGGCGUAAAGAGCUCGUAGGCGGCUUGUCGCGUCGUUCGUGAAAACCCACGGCUCAACUGUGGGCUUGCGGGCGAUACGGGCAGGCUAGAGUUCGGUAGGGGAGACUGGAAUUCCUGGUGUAGCGGUGAAAUGCGCAGAUAUCAGGAGGAACACCGGUGGCGAAGGCGGGUCUCUGGGCCGAUACUGACGCUGAGGAGCGAAAGCGUGGGGAGCGAACAGG